Molecule: ribosomal RNA, 292 nt
Filed under: uncultured Acidothermus sp.
Lineage: Bacteria; Bacillati; Actinomycetota; Actinomycetes; Acidothermales; Acidothermaceae
Description: partial 16S ribosomal RNA
Rfam family: Bacterial small subunit ribosomal RNA
Source: RNAcentral
GUGUCAGCAGCCGCGGUAACACGUAGGGCGCAAGCGUUGUCCGGAAUCAUUGGGCGUAAAGAGCUCGUAGGCGGUUUGUCGCGUCUGCUGUGAAAACUCGGGGCUUAACCCCGAGCUUGCAGUGGAUACGGGCAGACUAGAGGUAGGUAGGGGAGAAUGGAAUUCCCGGUGUAGCGGUGAAAUGCGCAGAUAUCGGGAGGGACACCGGUGGCGAAGGCGGUUCUCUGGGCCAUUACUGACGCUGAGGAGCGAAAGCGUGGGGAGCGAACAGGAUUAGAUACCCGGGUAGUCC